AGUCUUCGGACGGCGGCCUGCGGAGGUCGGGUGAGAGGGUGAUCGCGCUGCUGAAAGCCGACUGCGCCUACGUGGACUGCGGGUUCGCUCCGGGCCGCUCCUCCCUGCUGUUCACGAGGAAACCUAAAGAGGCUUGACUCAACCUGCCGGACACUAAAGGACAUCACUCUGAGCCUGAGGGAGGGGCUCUCCUUUGGUCUCCCUCUUUUGUCCAGCCUUGCCCCAGGAUAUUUUUCUAAGCUGAGUUAGCCACUAGGCACUCCACAUCGCUGCCCGCAUCACCACGCUGCGGCAUCUGCUGUUGCAUCUGCGAUCCACAAGGCCUACACCAUUCGCCAUCGCACCUGGCUGUUUGUUGCAGAUAUUUCUCAGACCUCCUGCUUGAAGCCUGAAGUGUUCCAAGCAUAGAGAUGAUGGACGUGGUAUGGGACAAUCAGUGCACCCGCAGGAGGGGACGGCGGGAACCAAGAUUGGAAGGAACAUUGCUCUCUGUGACUGAGUCUCCGUGUGGGCUGCUGGGACAAGUCUAUUGAUUGGUGU
Molecule: long non-coding RNA, 540 nt
Filed under: Homo sapiens (human)
Lineage: Eukaryota; Metazoa; Chordata; Mammalia; Primates; Hominidae
Description: novel transcript
Source: RNAcentral